Molecule: ribosomal RNA, 495 nt
Filed under: uncultured bacterium
Lineage: Bacteria
Description: partial 16S ribosomal RNA
Rfam family: Bacterial small subunit ribosomal RNA
Source: RNAcentral
GAUGAACGCUGGCGGCGUGCCUAAUACAUGCAAGUCGAGCGAACAGACGAGGAGCUUGCUCCUCUGACGUUAGCGGCGGACGGGUGAGUAACACGUGGAUAACCUACCUAUAAGACUGGGAUAACUUCGGGAAACCGGAGCUAAUACCGGAUAAUAUAUUGAACCGCAUGGUUCAAUAGUGAAAGACGGUUUUGCUGUCACUUAUAGAUGGAUCCGCGCCGCAUUAGCUAGUUGGUAAGGUAACGGCUUACCAAGGCAGCGAUGCGUAGCCGACCUGAGAGGGUGAUCGGCCACACUGGAACUGAGACACGGUCCAGACUCCUACGGGAGGCAGCAGUAGGGAAUCUUCCGCAAUGGGCGAAAGCCUGACGGAGCAACGCCGCGUGAGUGAUGAAGGUCUUCGGAUCGUAAAACUCUGUUAUUAGGGAAGAACAAAUGUGUAAGUAACUAUGCACGUCUUGACGGUACCUAAUCAGAAAGCCACGGCUAACUACG